CCCAGAGCUCUUUCAAGUUACUUUCUGGUUUGGAUAAUCUCCAGUUGAGACCAUCUGCCAUGCUUUACUUCUUCUUGGUAAAUUUUUAUGAUGAUACGCCAUGGAGUGGUGUUUAGUUCCUGGGCCAUAUUUCACUAGCUGUCACGAUUCUGUGAAGAAAUAUCUAUUCUCAUAGCAUGACAACAAUUGCUGGCAAAUUAUAGUUCUUGAAGCUUUCAUCUCUGCUGUCAGCAUGUGAGGAACUUACCUCGUACAAACCUUCAAAUACUGAAGAACAUCAAUAUGUUCAACAUCAAUAUGAUGUUCAAUAUUCCUCAUUGAAAUAUCAAUUUGUCUUUGACCCA
This is a long non-coding RNA of Pantherophis guttatus, 344 nucleotides long. RefSeq lists it as uncharacterized. Lineage: Eukaryota; Metazoa; Chordata; Lepidosauria; Squamata; Colubridae. The record is from RefSeq and is a predicted model, not a curated record.